UGCAGUCGCACGAGAACGGUCUGGCUUUGCCAGAACUAGUACAGUGGCGGACGGGUGCGUAACGCGUAGAUAACCUGCCUUCAGGCGCGGGAUAACCUCGGGAAACCGUGGCUAAUACCGCACGACGUCUAACCCCCGCAUGGGGGAUAGAUGAAAGCCUUCGGGUGCCUGAAGAUGGGUCUGCGUCGGAUUAGCUCGUUGGUGAGGUAACGGCUCACCAAGGUAACGAUCCGUAGCUGGUCUGAGAGGAUGAUCAGUCACACUGGGACUGAGACACGGCCCAGACUCCUACGGGAGGCAGCAGUGGGGAAUCUUGCACAAUGGGGGAAACCCUGAUGCAGCCAUGCCGCGUGGAGGAAGACACCCCUAUGGGGCGUAAACUCCUUUUCUGGGGGAAGAAACCUCUGUUUUUCAGAGUGUGACGGUACCCCAGGAAUAAGCACCGGCUAACUCCGUGCCAGCAGCCGCGGUAAUACGGAGGGUGCAAGCGUUGUCCGGAAUCACUGGGCGUAAAGGGUGCGCAGGCGGGGCAGCAAGUCGAUGGUGAAAUCCUGCGGCUUAACCGCAGAAGUGCCUUCGAAACUGUUGCUCUUGAGUCCCGGAGAGGCUGCCGGAAUUCGUGGUGUAGCGGUGAAAUGCGUAGAUGUCACGAGGAACACCAGAGGCGAAAGCGGGCAGCUGGACGGGUACUGACGCUGAGGCACGAAAGCGUGGGGAGCAAACAGGAUU
This 729-nucleotide ribosomal RNA is filed under the name uncultured bacterium. RNAcentral describes it as "bacterial SSU rRNA". It matches the Rfam family "Bacterial small subunit ribosomal RNA", at positions 56 to 779 of the family's 1533-position model. The record is from RNAcentral.